GCCUCUUAAUGUGAAGUGGGUUUGUGAGAGACCGGAGGACUAAACCUAAAAAACAUCAUCUGCAACUGCCAGCCAUUUACACGCUGCCUUUUUGGAGUAAGGAAAAAAUGGCGCAAUUGUCCGAAUGAAAGAAAAGGGAAAGAAAAAUAAUAGUCAGCCCUCAUCCUUCUCCUACCAGCUCCCCUCCCUUCCCUUCGUCAACGGAAGCAUUUAGUGCCAUCUGUGCCCCCGGAGAAAAGCAAAAAGAAAGGAGCGAGACUCUACAUCCCAAGUGCCAAUGGGGACAAAGAGGCUGCCAGUUGCCAUGGACCACCAGAUGCUGGGAGACUGCAACACUGAAUGAGGGGUGUGCUUACAGGAAGCCAUCUUGAUGGAGAAACUGCCUGCUGCUCCCUAAAAUGGCUGUGUUGGCAUGAGGUUUCUAGCAAUGAUCAAAAGUGUGGAAGAAAAUCACUGUCAACAUCUGCUGCAAAAACUGAGGCCAUGCAGCUAUUUAUAACUGAGGUGGUCAAUCACAGCACUUCAGGAAUCCAGCAUUUACUCCAGAUGGCUCACUGUGAAACAAGCAGAUGUGAGAUGGAUUGAAAACUUGCACUAAUUGAUUUAACUGGGUGUCUGAAACCUUUCAUCCUUCAAGUAAUCACAAAUUUCUGAUGCUUGUGACUGAUUUUGUACAAUACGUGUGAAAGACAUGAUGGUUAGCUAGUUAAAUUUCAGGUAGGCUGUUAAAACAAUGUGUUACGAGUGCUAUGUAAAGUGAAGAAUAAUGUGCACUAAUGUGUGAAAUGUUUACAAAAAUGGUUUCUCUGAAUUAAUACACAAUGUCAAAGAUAUACUCAUUUGCAUUUCCUAUUUUGAAUGUAUACAUUAAAUGCCACUGUCUGUAUAUGAAUUGUUGGGAUCUAUUAAAAUGUGAUGUUUUGAUGGAUGUAUAAGAAAAAAAAACUUGAUCUGGUUAUGUCGAAUACUUGAAUGAUGUUUCUGCAUUUACUGUUACUCAGGAAAUAAAUCCUUUAACUACAAAAUCAAACAUAAUUAAGUUACUGAUAAAAUACUGAUGUCUUCACUAUAGACAUUUUUAAUGAGGUAGACGUCAACCACAUCUUCACAUGGUGGCCACAAGCUGUUUUGAAGCUUAUAGACCUGGCACUCCCAUCAGCACCUUGGACAGCACAUAACCAUAUGACGCGGGAAAUAACCGAUGAAUCACUAUUCUUAUUCAUGUGGACAAAACAGAAAUAAAGUAAUAUGUGCAAGUCA
Molecule: long non-coding RNA, 1260 nt
Organism: Paramisgurnus dabryanus
Lineage: Eukaryota; Metazoa; Chordata; Actinopteri; Cypriniformes; Cobitidae
Source: RefSeq, a predicted model, not a curated record